UGGAGUUGGCAUUGGUCACAUGGGAGCUGUUGGGGCUGUUGCUUUUUCAAAGAAACAGAGAAAUUUCUUUGUGAGUGGUAGCAGUGACCGUACUCUAAAGGUAUGGAAUAUGGAUUCUGUCUCUGACAACAAUGAAGAAGUUCUAACUUUGAAAGCUAAAGCAGUUGUAGCAGCACAUGACAAAGAUAUUAACUGUUUGGCAGUAGCACCAAAUGACAGUCUUGUUUGCAGUGGGUCUCAGGAUCGUACUGCUUGCAUAUGGAGACUUCCAGACCUAGUAUCAGUGGUUGCACUGAAAGGGCAUAAAAGGGGGAUAUGGUCUGUGGAGUUUUCACCAGUUGAUCAAUGCGUGAUGACAGCUUCUGGAGAUAAGACGAUAAAAAUUUGGGCAAUUUCUGAUGGAACGUGUUUGAAAACAUUUGAAGGGCAUCAAUCUAGUGUGUUAAGAGCGUCAUUUCUCACCCAUGGCACCCAGAUUGUUUCUUGCGGUGCUGAUUGUAUGGUAAAGUUGUGGACAGUUAAAACCAAUGAGUGUAUUGCAACUUAUGACCAACAUGAGGAAAAGAUUUGGGCCCUGGCUGUUGGUAAGAAAACAGAAAUGCUUGCAACUGGCGGUGGUGAUGCAGUGAUCAAUUUGUGGCAUGACUCAACAGCUUUAGAUAAAGAGGAAGCUUUUCGUAA
Molecule: unclassified non-coding RNA, 681 nt
Filed under: Hevea brasiliensis (rubber tree)
Lineage: Eukaryota; Viridiplantae; Streptophyta; Magnoliopsida; Malpighiales; Euphorbiaceae
Source: RNAcentral